UCGCCACGGUAACACCAGCCCCGCGAGUGGUCGGGACGGUUAUUGGGCCUAAAGCGCCCGUAGCCGGCCCGGCAAGUCCUCCCUUAAAGCCUCGGGCUCAACCCGAGGACGGGGAGGAUACUGCCGGGCUAGGGGCGGGAGAGGCCGGCGGUACUCCGGGGUAGGGGCGAAAUCCAAUAAUCCCGGGAGGACCACCAGUGGCGAAGGC
Molecule: ribosomal RNA, 208 nt
Filed under: uncultured archaeon
Lineage: Archaea
Description: partial 16S ribosomal RNA
Rfam family: Archaeal small subunit ribosomal RNA
Source: RNAcentral